AACAUCGCGCACCUGCGGGAACCUGCGGAGGGAUCAUCAUCGAAUUCUUAUAUUUCAUACAAGUUGUGAGAGUGUGUGGUGUUGUGGGUGGUGGGGGGAAAAGAAAAGAAGUGUUUUCAUACUCUUCCUCUUCUCUCUCCCCCCCACACACCACACAUACUCUGCAGCUUCAACCAAACGAUCACAACUAUAUCAGAGGGGGGAAAUUUUGACUUGGUUGGUUGUGGGGGGGAGCGCCUG
This 240-nucleotide unclassified non-coding RNA is filed under the name soil metagenome. Its description in RNAcentral is "partial contains 5.8S ribosomal RNA, internal transcribed spacer 2, and large subunit ribosomal RNA". The record is from RNAcentral.